GCAAGUCGAGGGGUAACAUUGGAGCUUGCUCCAGAUGACGACAGGCGCACGGGGGAGUAACACGUAUCCAAACUACCUAUAACUCGUGAAUAGCCUCUUGAAAGAGAGAUUAAUACACGAUAUAAUAAUAUAGUUUAGUUACUUUAUUAUGAAAGAUUUAUCGGUUAUAGAUGGGGAUGCGUCCCAUUAGAUAGUAGGCGGGGUAACGGCCCACCUAGUCUUCGAUGGGUAGGUGUUCUGAGAGGAAGGUC
RNAcentral lists this ribosomal RNA (251 nucleotides) under uncultured bacterium. RNAcentral's name for it is "partial 16S ribosomal RNA". It matches the Rfam family "Bacterial small subunit ribosomal RNA", at positions 57 to 305 of the family's 1533-position model. The record is from RNAcentral.